AGCUGCGUGGGCGCUCGCCCGUCCCUCAGUUAGAGAUCGGCUACCUCGCCGCUCGCACGAAACACUUCUCCGAACAGCGCAACGAACGACUGCAAAGAUGUCUACCGGUCCGAAGAUUGUUCACAAGCAGUUCAACUCUCCCAUCGGCCUGUACUCCCAACAGAACAUCCAGGAGACCCUCAAUAAGCAUCUGCAGAACCUCGACAAUGGCACCGUCGGCAUUGACUUCCAAAACCCAGUGACCGACAAACCAGCCAAUCUAGCCAACUCAGCCGUUCUGCGAAUGCUUGAAGAAGAGGAGCGUAAUCGUAGAGGUCUACCAAAAUUAGAUCAAACUCAAGUCCAGGCGAUUUUGGAUAACCUUGUCCAUGCUCGGAGACGAUUUGACAAACUUUGGCCACCGGAUAAACCCGAUUCGACUCGAGGUUGGAACGGUCAAAUCAAUGCUACGUCAUAUAUUUAUUCCGAACUAAUGAAGGCUACUAAAGGUCAAAAGAAGGUAGUUUGGCCUCCAGUGCCCGAAACUAACGGUUAUCAUCAACCACAGCAGCAGAGUCCCGCAUACUACAACAACGCACAGACCCCCAACCAGCAAUAUUCCCCGCAACCUCCAGCUCAACAACCUGUAAACCGUCAGGCCCCACCAUCCCAAUUCUCCCCAUCAAAUUACUCCUCAUACCAAGCACAGGCUCAGCCAGCAUAUUGUGACGGGAAACGCCAAGAAGCAACAGGUCUAAGUAAACUAAUCCCUGUGGGGCCUGGUGUCUCACCGUCCCCCGUUUCCCCUUACCGCCAAGGUCCUCUCUCACCAAGUGCUCAGCCCUACAAACAACAACCCAGUCGCUGGGCCCCAGUACCAGCCCCGGUCUCUCCCCAGCCACAAUACGGAUCACAGCCACAGUACUCGCCACAGCCGCAAUACUCUGAACCAGUCUACCAGCCACCUCAAAGACAAUUUGAACCUCCACCGACAAUCAUAACACUCCGUCAACAACCGCCGGUCCACCAGCAACCUCCUCCAGUCUUUGCCAGCCAACCGGCAACAGCGUCGCUUAAAGGAGGCGUAAACAUGCGUGGGGAUCAGAAAUGGCCGCCGCAGUCGGUGAAGGAAGCAGUUGAUGCUGAGAAUGAAGCCAGGAGACAGCUGGCCAAGGGACCAGCUUGCAGACCACGCAAGCCCCGGCAAUAUUCGCUUGCCGAAUUACUUGCACUGAACGAGGUGUAGGAGUCCGUCGUUUAGACUUGUCGCUAGUCGGCACUUGGCGGACUUAGUUAUCUUUAGUAAAAAAGGACUACACGGAAUUCUUUUCGCAGCACGCCCUGAAUCACAGUUACACAAGUUACCGCGUCCCACCCGGCACGCAGCACUUUGAACCCCUCUCGGGCCGAUCAUCAUAUUAAUUUAUCACUAGCCAUAUAUCAAAUAAAUUAAAAAAACUGCAAGUCGUAUCAACACAUUAAAAAAACAGAUCAACUUUCUUGUUAGGUAUUAUCAAAAUUAAUAGUUUUCAUUUCAUAAAUUUCAUUCAUACAUUGUACUCGAUGUCCCAGAGCGGAUGUCCAGUGUAGGUACUUGUGAAGACUUUUGUUACUAAAGUCUUUGUGCAUGUGCUCGAUUGGCGAUUGGUCAGCCACAGUCAGUACAUUAACAUAGAAUUAAUUUUUAAUCAUAACUUAGCUUCUAAGUGUAAGUAUGAAGUAAUAAUAUUUAACAAAACAUUUGAUAAAUACGAAAAAAUGUAAAUGUGCUUUGAAACAGACGAAUUCGUGCGAAAUUGCUUCACGCUUUUUAACUAAAAAGAAAUUGAAAUGUUACAAUUGAUCUUUUCAUUUUAAGCUUCUGCAAAAUGUAAAAAACAAAAUUAACUCUCAAAGCUUAAUUCGUAUGUACUUUACUUAACUAGUCAUUGUUAUUUAAUUUGAAUUAUAUUGUAUAUAAAAUGUUCAGUUAAAUGAUUUUUAUUGUAAAUGAUCAUUUAUAUUUUAAUUAAAUAAAUUUUUAAAGCGUAUAAA
Molecule: RNA transcript, 2013 nt
Organism: Danaus plexippus (monarch butterfly)
Lineage: Eukaryota; Metazoa; Arthropoda; Insecta; Lepidoptera; Nymphalidae
Exons: 10
Source: RefSeq, a predicted model, not a curated record